CCUACGGGUGGCUGCAGUGGGGAAUAUUGCACAAUGGGGGGAACCCUGAUGCAGCGACGCCGCGUGGGUGAGGAAGUACUUCGUUAUGUAAAGCUCUAUCAGCAGGGAAGAAAAUGACGGUACCUGACUAAGAAGCCCCGGCUAACUACGUGCCAGCAGCCGCGGUAAUACGUAGGGGGCAAGCGUUAUCCGGAUUUACUGGGUGUAACGGGAGCGUAGACGGCUUUGCAAGUCUGGAGUGAAAGGCGGGGGCUCAACCCCCGGACUGCUUUGGAAACUGUCAGGCUGGAGUGCAGGAGAGGUAAGUGGAAUUCCUAGUGUAGCGGUGAAAUGCGUAGAUAUUAGGAGGAACACCGGUGGCGAAGGCGGCUUGCUGGACUGUAACUGACGUUGAGGCUCGAAAGCGUGGGGAGCAAACAGGAUUAGAUACCCGAGUAGUC
RNAcentral lists this ribosomal RNA (440 nucleotides) under uncultured bacterium. Its description in RNAcentral is "partial 16S ribosomal RNA". It matches the Rfam family "Bacterial small subunit ribosomal RNA", at positions 338 to 795 of the family's 1533-position model. The record is from RNAcentral.